GACGAACGCUGGCGGCGUGCUUAACACAUGCAAGUCGAACGGAAAGGCCCUGCUUUUGUGGGGUGCUCGAGUGGCGAACGGGUGAGUAACACGUGAGUAACCUGCCCUUGACUUUGGGAUAACUUCAGGAAACUGGGGCUAAUACCGGAUAGGAGCUCCUGCUGCAUGGUGGGGGGUGGAAAGUUUCGGCGGUUGGGGAUGGACUCGCGGCUUAUCAGCUUGUUGGUGGGGUAGCGGCUUACCAAGGCUUUGACGGGUAGCCGGCCUGAGAGGGUGACCGGCCACAUUGGGACUGAGAUACGGCCCAGACUCCUACGGGAGGCAGCAGUGGGGAAUAUUGCACAAUGGGCGGAAGCCUGAUGCAGCAACGCCGCGUGCGGGAUGACGGCCUUCGGGUUGUAAACCGCUUUCGCCUGUGACGAAGCGUGAGUGACGGUAAUGGGUAAAGAAGCACCGGCUAACUACGUG
RNAcentral lists this ribosomal RNA (468 nucleotides) under uncultured bacterium. RNAcentral describes it as "partial 16S ribosomal RNA". It matches the Rfam family "Bacterial small subunit ribosomal RNA", at positions 28 to 507 of the family's 1533-position model. The record is from RNAcentral.